This is a long non-coding RNA of Cucurbita moschata (crookneck pumpkin), 855 nucleotides long. RefSeq lists it as uncharacterized. The transcript is spliced from 6 exons. The record is from RefSeq and is a predicted model, not a curated record. NCBI's taxonomy places the organism in Eukaryota, Viridiplantae, Streptophyta, Magnoliopsida, Cucurbitales, Cucurbitaceae.
ACCGCCCAAACCGUUAAAAUAUGGUGAGAGUAAACCCCUCGUACCAUAUUAGGGUUUAAGAUUUGGCGCCUUGAGACUGAAAUUUUGUACUUGGAGCUCGACCGAAUCAUGUGAGCGGGAAUCAGCGAGGGCCGAGGGAAAAUGGCAACAAUUGCUGCUUCAAGAAUUCGAUCGGUGGUACCUCGGCCAGUGACAAUUGUGACCGGCAACGCCAAGAAGCUUGAGGAAGUUCGAGCAAUCUUGAGCAGCGCUCUGUUUCUUUUUCGGUCUCUCAAGCUUGACUUGUCGGAGCUGCAAGGCGAACCGGAAGCUAUAUCGAAAGAGAAAGCUCGUUUGGCUGCUAUCUAGGGCCAUACUGUAAGUUGCUACUUUAUCAAUUCCCCUGUUGAGGUAUGCCGAAAUGCACAAAGGAAGAAAAUAACAAAAUAUCUCAUUUCUCUUGCGCCGGUGAAAUCGCACUUUGCUGAAGCUAACUGUACUUACCAUUUCGAAGACUAAAGGAUAUCAUUCUAUUUUCAAAGGAGAGCAAAUCAAUGUGCAUUUAUUAAUUAUAAAGGGGUAUCAAAAUUUGCAAGCUUUAUUGGUAGGGGAAGGGCAUAAAGGUGGAGAGAAAAGGGCAGUGAUGAUGACUUGGUAGCAUGUGGGAAGGCACAUGCAAGAAUCAUCAACUGCCUCACUAAAUGAAAGUGAUUGCCAAUUACAAAACAACACAAUCUUAGUGAGUAUCUUAACUUCAUUAAUCACUUUUAUAAAGUUCUAAAAGCCCUUCCUUUAACUCUAAAAGUUAAUUUAAUUGGCUACCUUUCUUUUGUUUUACAAAGUUAAUUGAGUUCAAAUCACCUUCAUUUUCUUCUU